This is a non-coding RNA of Salmo salar (Atlantic salmon), 972 nucleotides long. NCBI's taxonomy places the organism in Eukaryota, Metazoa, Chordata, Actinopteri, Salmoniformes, Salmonidae. The record is from RefSeq and is a predicted model, not a curated record.
GUAUUUUUCCGGCGUUGCUCCGCAAGCUUUUUAUGUUUGGAUGCACGUUCCUCGCCCCCCCCCCAAAAAUGCCUAAAAGAUCUUAUCCUUUCGCUGAAUCUUUCUCAUCGCAGCAUAAAAUUCACAUUGGACAAAAGGAGUUGAAUAAUCGCGGCGAUUAUGGGGACAAGUAUAGACAAGAAAUCUACGGUGCUGUGCUGGUUUCAAAGGGGUGCUGUGUGUGUCAGAAGGCCCAGAGGACCAGGAGGCAGUGCUCCCAGUGUGACCGCCCAGCCUGCCCCUCCUGCAUCCAGCAGUGCUCCAACUGCUCCAGCCCCUGUUGCUCUGUCUGCACCGUCAUUGAGUAGGUCACUUUGUCAGGACAUACAAUAGACAGCAUGGUCAUAUAACGGAACCUGCCGUGCCCAACCCUCUGCGGCUCAAUCAACCAAGGACUCCUGGCACAAACAUAUCAGACAUUCCUGUGGUUGGCAGACAGCAGGUUGACUGGCAGACUGGACCUUGCUAAACCCUGUGUAACUGGGUAAAUGUGCACUGACAACCUAUACAACAGAAAAUAUAACAUGCAUAUAACUGUCUGAGGGUCUCUACAAUACUGCCCAAACAAGAAAGAAUGCAGUAACUGCUCAUAGCGUGGAACUGAGAAAAUGGCUUUUAUUUACCUUGGUUUCACAGUAACUUUAUACAGUUAAUUAUAACAUGAACCCCAUUUUAUCCAAAACACAAUACAAUAGAGGUAGGAUACUUGUCCACAUGACUAAGCAUGUAGUCAUUUUUGCUCAAAUAAAUGACCCAUUUUUGACCAAAUGAGCAGUUUGUCUUUUUGCUUGGUAGGGCAGAAUAGUAUGCAACAUAUAUGAUUAAGCAAGCAGUGCAGAGCACGUACAUUGAGAUGUAGCCUGUUUUUAUUUAUUUAUUUUUAUUCUACUUUACUUUGCUUGUUACUCAUUGUUUUCUCUGUAUCCUCUUCUC